CUUGCUCUGACUUCUCUCUACUUUUCCACCGCUUCUCACCGUUGAAAUUUCAAAUAGGUAGUGUGCUUUCGUUCACGGAGUUGAGAGCUUUCCCUUCAUCCGAUUAGAUUUUCGUUUUGGACGGAUCCUGUUGAACUUGCUUCUGUGCAAGAGUACUGUUUUGGGGUUUCCUCUAAAGAGUGUUGUGCUUGUAACCACUAAGAUGAAAAAGAGGUGUCUGUGGAGCAAGCAUUGGAAGAAGGUGAUGAUGCAGCUUAGUAUGUCUAGGAUCUUGAUUAGUAGUAUUAUUCUGAUGAUAAUUCACAGUGGUCCUUUAUGUUUAAGAGAUCAACUCUGAUUUUAUUUUGA
Vigna angularis (adzuki bean) is the source of this 348-nucleotide long non-coding RNA. RefSeq lists it as uncharacterized. The record is from RefSeq and is a predicted model, not a curated record. Lineage: Eukaryota; Viridiplantae; Streptophyta; Magnoliopsida; Fabales; Fabaceae. The transcript has 3 exons.